Molecule: ribosomal RNA, 253 nt
Filed under: uncultured bacterium
Lineage: Bacteria
Description: partial 16S ribosomal RNA
Rfam family: Bacterial small subunit ribosomal RNA
Source: RNAcentral
GACAUAGGUUGCGAACGUUAUCCGGAAUUAUUGGGCGUAAAGAGCUCGUAGGCGGUUUGUCGCGUCUGCCGUGAAAGUCCGGGGCUCAACUCCGGAUCUGCAGUGGGUACGGGCAGACUAGAGUGAUGUAGGGGAGACUGGAAUUCCUGGUGUAGCGGUGAAAUGCGCAGAUAUCAGGAGGAACACCGAUGGCGAAGGCAGGUCUCUGGGCAUUAACUGACGCUGAGGAGCGAAAGCAUGGGGAGCGAACAGG